CAAACCCACAAAUUCACCAACUCCCAAACUGCAACCAAGGGAAUACUCGAAACUCCGAACUGGAGACACACGAAUAGCUGCUAGCAGACGAACAGGAAAAGCCCCCAAGCGGCUUACACUCCUGGCAAUCAGUCUCUAACAGCAUACAGUAAAUCCUCCCCCCAAUAAUUAGACAACACUUCACUUUGAGGGUUAAGCAGGGACUCAUUUACUGGGGCUAACUGCCCGGCUUUUAUGCAGGUCUCCCACCUGGUGGACACUCCCCUAGGGGACCAAAUGGAAGACUGGGACACAAAGGGUAAAAGGACCAAUCACAGACUUACACAUUUCAACCAUCCCACAAUGCAUCACAAUCCCUCCUCUCUGCUCUGGAGAUAAUUGGGAAGUAAUUCAAUUAUCUCCAAAGACAGAGGCAAAACUCCAUUAACCACAUGGCAGAAAACAAACAGUAAAAGACAUAAAAUUACCUACAGUUACAUUCAGUACAUAAAACAUAUAUGUUCUACAUAUCCCCAGAUAGCUCAGGUCUGAGCGCACAUUAUUAAGCGAAUGGCGCUCAGACCACACAAAUACAGUUUAAUCGCCAUGGAGCCAAAGUCUUUACACAGUCAGUUUCAUGCGAAUGAGCUCCAUGGGAUUCCUAUCUGGGGUACAACACACUGAAACAAAACUACCGAACACCGGGCCGUUUGUGCACUUUCACCGAACAAGAAGGGGGGGGUCGGCGGCUUCAGCGGUGUUCGCGCAAAACUGUGUCCGAUUUCAGUUCCAAGAAUUAAGCGUCGAACACCGCUGUGCAUUCGCAUGUUUAAAAUGGCCGCGACUUCGUGUUCGUGAUACGAAUGGCGGCCACCCAGCAUUCGUCAAUUAAGCUGCGGUUAACCGCAGCUUCAGGGAGGUUAAUUGCCGGCACACUCCAGCUCCCAGGUGGUCUAUUCAUUUGUGCGGUUGUUCGGUAGAUUGAAUCUACCAAACACCCGGCAGAAAAGCAUGAAUAAGUCUUUUCUGCAGGGAAAAAGAUGUCUUUUAACAUGGGGCCAUAGUCCAAAGGCAGCAGACGAGCAACCAGGCUUCUCCAGUGUACAGUGGCGAGGUUGGUUUCGCCACAAUCACCUCACAACAUAAGUGUCAAAACCGCAAGGAAAACAAUUAAUGAGUGCUUCCCUCGGUUGCCG
Pelobates cultripes (western spadefoot toad) is the source of this 1175-nucleotide non-coding RNA. The record is from the annotation of a GenBank genome assembly. NCBI's taxonomy places the organism in Eukaryota, Metazoa, Chordata, Amphibia, Anura, Pelobatidae.